GACGAACGCUGGCGGCGUGCCUAUUACAUGCAAGUAGAACGCUGAAGCUUGGUGCUUGCACCGAGCGGAUGAGUUGCGAACGGGUGAGUAACGCGUAGGUAACCUGCCUGGUAGCGGGGGAUAACUAUUGGAAACGAUAGCUAAUACCGCAUAAGAGUAGAUGUUGCAUGACAUUUGCUUAAAAGGUGCAAUUGCAUCACUACCAGAUGGACCUGCGUUGUAUUAGCUAGUUGGUGAGGUAACGGCUCACCAAGGCAACGAUACAUAGCCGACCUGAGAGGGUGAUCGGCCACACUGGGACUGAGACACGGCCCAGACUCCUACGGGAGGCAGCAGUAGGGAAUCUUCGGCAAUGGACGGAAGUCUGACCGAGCAACGCCGCGUGAGUGAAGAAGGUUUUCGGAUCGUAAAGCUCUGUUGUAAGAGAAGAACGAGUGUGAGAGUGGAAAGUUCACACUGUGACGGUAUCUUACCAGAAAGGGACGGCUAACUACGUG
RNAcentral lists this ribosomal RNA (497 nucleotides) under uncultured bacterium. RNAcentral's name for it is "partial 16S ribosomal RNA". It matches the Rfam family "Bacterial small subunit ribosomal RNA", at positions 28 to 507 of the family's 1533-position model. The record is from RNAcentral.